CCUACGGGAGGCAGCAGUGGGGAAUAUUGGACAAUGGGGGGAACCCUGAUCCAGCCAUGCCGCGUGUGUGAAGAAGGCCCUCGGGUUGUAAAGCACUUUCAGUGAGGAAGAACGCCUGGUGGUUAAUACCCAUCAGGAAAGACAUCACUCACAGAAGAAGCACCCGCUAACUCCGUGCCAGCAGCCGCGGUAAUACGGAGGGUGCGAGCGUUAAUCGGAAUUACUGGGCGUAAAGCGCGCGUAGGUGGCUUGAUAAGCCGGUUGUGAAAGCCCCGGGCUCAACCUGGGAACGGCAUCCGGAACUGUCAAGCUAGAGUGCAGGAGAGGAAGGUAGAAUUCCCGGUGUAGCGGUGAAAUGCGUAGAGAUCGGGAGGAAUACCAGUGGCGAAGGCGGCCUUCUGGACUGACACUGACACUGAGGUGCGAAAGCGUGGGUAGCAAACAGGAUUAGAUACCCCAGUAGUC
This 465-nucleotide ribosomal RNA is filed under the name Vreelandella stevensii. Its description in RNAcentral is "partial 16S ribosomal RNA". It matches the Rfam family "Bacterial small subunit ribosomal RNA", at positions 338 to 795 of the family's 1533-position model. The record is from RNAcentral. Lineage: Bacteria; Pseudomonadati; Pseudomonadota; Gammaproteobacteria; Oceanospirillales; Halomonadaceae.